Molecule: long non-coding RNA, 561 nt
Organism: Micropterus salmoides (largemouth bass)
Lineage: Eukaryota; Metazoa; Chordata; Actinopteri; Centrarchiformes; Centrarchidae
Exons: 2
Source: RefSeq, a predicted model, not a curated record
UCUAUAUUUGCAGGUGUGAGCCACAGCCACUGACAUUGAAAGGAUGGUAACGCUACCAAGCACACCUCGCUUGAUUGUCCAAGGUGUUUUGGGGCAUCAAUCCAGAGAUGGGCACAAAAUCGAAGAGACAGCGAGGACAAAUCAACCAGCAAGUGUGUACACUAAUCAGGAAGCUCAUUGACUUUAAGUGGAUGUCAAAGUAGACAGUGAAAGGCAAAACAUGAAUACAGCAUGAGGUUUACGGUUUUAUAAGUGUUUUUAAUAUUUCAAUGUUCUGUUUUUUAAUUGAUUCAUGUUAAACUGGAGGUGAAAAAUGUCUUUAAAAUUCAAUUGUAUGUAUAUUGCGCAAAUUUUUUUAAGUGGUACCAAAGCACAAACCGUUUGCAGCUUUAAUUAUCAGUUAAUCUGCUCGAUUAAUCAAUUAACUGAUUAGUGUAUAAAAUGUCAAACAUUUUGAGAAAUGCUCUUUACAAUUUCCCAGUGCCCAAAGUAACAUCAAUGCAGUAGUUGCACUGUCCUGUAAAGUUUAUAUAAAACUGCAAAAUAAAUGUGUAAAAUAGA